RNAcentral lists this ribosomal RNA (825 nucleotides) under Cyanoannulus petersenii. RNAcentral's name for it is "eukaryotic LSU rRNA". It matches the Rfam family "Eukaryotic large subunit ribosomal RNA", at positions 75 to 946 of the family's 3401-position model. Lineage: Eukaryota; Fungi; Ascomycota; Sordariomycetes; Woswasiaceae. The record is from RNAcentral.
UUGCCCUAGUAACGGCGAGUGAAGCGGCAACAGCUCAAAUUUGAAAUCUGGCCUAGGCCCGAGUUGUAAUUUGUAGAGGAUGCUUUGGGCGCGGUGCCUUCUGAGUCCCCUGGAAUGGGGCGCCCUAGAGGGUGAGAGCCCCGUGUAGUCGGACACCAAGCCUAUGUAAAGCUCCUUCGACGAGUCGAGUAGUUUGGGAAUGCUGCUCAAAAUGGGAGGUAAAUUCCUUCUAAAGCUAAAUACUGGCCAGAGACCGAUAGCGCACAAGUAGAGUGAUCGAAAGAUGAAAAGCACUUUGAAAAGAGGGUUAAACAGCACGUGAAAUUGUUGAAAGGGAAGCGCUCAUGACCAGACUUGUGCCCUGCAGAUCACCCGGCGUUCUCGCCGGGGCACUCUGCCUGGUACAGGCCAGCAUCGGUUCUCCCGGGGGGAUAAAGGCGCCUGGAACGUAGCUCUUCGGAGUGUUAUAGCCUAGCGUGCAAUGCUCCCGGGGGGACCGAGGACCGCGCUCACGCAAGGAUGCUGGCGUAAUGGUCUUCAGCGACCCGUCUUGAAACACGGACCAAGGAGUCAAGCAGUAAGGCGAGUGUUUGGGUGUCAAACCCGCACGCGUAAUGAAAGUGACGUAGGUGAAACUUCGCGCAUCAUCGACCGAUCCUGAUGUUCUCGGAUGGAUUUGAGUAAGAGCCUUACCGCUUGGACCCGAAAAAUGGUGAACUUUGCCUGUAUAGGGUGAAGCCAGAGGAAAAUCUUGUGGAGGUUCCCACGGGUCUGACUGCAAAUCGAUCCCCAAUUUGGCAUGGGGCGAAAGAUUAUCGACCUCUA